RNAcentral lists this long non-coding RNA (229 nucleotides) under Panax ginseng (ginseng). RNAcentral's name for it is "long non-coding RNA (PGIN_LNC013449)". The record is from RNAcentral. Lineage: Eukaryota; Viridiplantae; Streptophyta; Magnoliopsida; Apiales; Araliaceae.
UAUUGGGAAAAGUACGCCAAAAAUAAUCUAUAUCCCAGGAAUUACUUUUCCGUCUUUGUGCAAUUAAAUAUGAAAUCAAGUAAACCAAUUAUGAGAACAAAAAUAACAAAUAACCAUCCACAAGCAAGACACCAAAUUUACGUGAAAAACCCUCUAAAAUUAAGAGGUAAAAACCACGGGUCAAACUCCGAAUCUCCACUAUAUCACUAAUAAUGGGCUUACAAUAAUC